This 442-nucleotide ribosomal RNA is filed under the name uncultured Bacteroidota bacterium. RNAcentral describes it as "bacterial SSU rRNA". It matches the Rfam family "Bacterial small subunit ribosomal RNA", at positions 917 to 1359 of the family's 1533-position model. The record is from RNAcentral. Lineage: Bacteria; Pseudomonadati; Bacteroidota.
GGGCCCGCACAAGCGGAGGAACAUGUGGUUUAAUUCGAUGAUACGCGAGGAACCUUACCCGGGUUUGAACGCAUUUUGACCGGAGGGGAAACCCUUUUUCUAGCAAUAGCAAUUUGCGAGGUGCUGCAUGGUUGUCGUCAGCUCGUGCCGUGAGGUGUCGGCUUAAGUGCCAUAACGAGCGCAACCCUUACGGGUAGUUACCAGCAUGUAAUGAUGGGGACUCUACUCGGACUGCCAGCGUAAGCUGUGAGGAAGGUGGGGAUGACGUCAAAUCAGCACGGCCCUUACAUCCGGGGCGACACACGUGUUACAAUGGAUGGGACAGAGGGCAGCGAUAUGGUGACAUAGAGCGAAUCCUAAAACCCAUUCUCAGUUCGGAUCGAAGUCUGCAACCCGACUUCGUGAAGCUGGAUUCGCUAGUAAUCGCGCAUCAGCCAUGGCG